Non-coding RNA from Vicia faba (fava bean), 273 nucleotides. NCBI's taxonomy places the organism in Eukaryota, Viridiplantae, Streptophyta, Magnoliopsida, Fabales, Fabaceae. The record is from the annotation of a GenBank genome assembly.
AUGUGCAGUAACGCCUUCUCCCAGCAUAGUAUCCAUCCUCAUCAACAUACAACCUUCAUUAAUACUUGCACCGCCCAAGGUCUCUUUCAAUCUCCACCUCCUUCCUCUCAACCUCAUCAUUUCUGCAAGUUAAACGCACAGCAACUCCAUCACCGAUUCAAUCUCCGUCGCCCUUCAAGCUACCCACUGUUCCAACUUACUUUUUGUUCAAUGAUGAUGCUUGUGGAAGGAGUAUAUGUCAUGGUGUCUAUGAAGAACACAAAUGUGCAAUGA